AGAGUUUGAUCCUGGACACGGCCCAGACUCCUACGGGAGGCAGCAGUGGGGAAUCUUGCACAAUGGGCGAAAGCCUGAUGCAGCGACGCCGCGUGGGGGAUGAAGCUUCUCGGAGUGUAAACCCCUUUCGACCCGGACGAAUACCUCGCAAGAGGGGUGACGGUACGGGUAUAAGAAGCCCCGGCUAACUACGUGCCAGCAGCCGCGGUAAGACGUAGGGGGCCAGCGUUGUUCGGAAUUACUGGGUGUAAAGGGUUCGUAGGCGGUGUGGCAAGUCGGGAGUGAAAUUUCUGGGCUCAACUCAGAGACUGCUUCCGAAACUGCUGUGCUGGAGUGUGGGAGAGGCGCGUGGAAUUGCAGGUGUAGCGGUGAAAUGCGUAGAUAUCUGCAGGAACACCCGUGGCGAAAGCGGCGCGCUGGACCACUACUGACGCUGAGGAACGAAAGCUAGGGGAGCAAACAGGAUUAGAUACCCUGGUAGUCCUAGCCCUAAACGAUCAGGACUUGGGGUGCCACCCGUUCGGGUGUCGUCCCGGAGCUAACGCGUUAAGUCCUGCACCUGGGGAGUACGGUCGCAAGACUGAAACUCAAAGGAAUUGACGGGGGCCCGCACAAGCGGUGGAACAUGUGGUUCAAUUCGACGCUACGCGAGGAACCUUACCUGGGCUCGAAAUGCUGGUGACCAGCUGUAGAAAUACGGCCUUCCCGCAAGGGACACCAGUAUAGGCGCUGCAUGGCUGUCGUCAGCUCGUGCCGUGAGGUGUUGGGUUAAGUCCCGCAACGAGCGCAACCCCUGCACGUAGUUGCCACUCCGCAAGGAGGGAACUCUACGUGGACUGCUCCGGAUAACGGAGAGGAAGGUGGGGAUGACGUCAAGUCCGCAUGGCCUUUAUGUCCAGGGCUACACACGUGUUACAAUGCAGGGCACAAACCGUUGCCAACCCGCGAGGGGGAGCUAAUCGGAAAAAACUCUGCUCAGUUCGGAUUGCAGUCUGCAACUCGACUGCAUGAAGCCGGAAUCGCUAGUAAUGGCGUAUCAGAUCGACGCCGUGAAUACGUUCCCGGGCCUUGUACACACCGCCCGUCACAUCACGAAAGUGAGUUGUACUAGAAGUCGUCACGCUGACCGCAAGGAGGCAGACGCCCAAGGUAUGACUCAUGAUUGGGGUGAAGUCGUAACAAGGUAACCGU
RNAcentral lists this ribosomal RNA (1191 nucleotides) under uncultured Acidobacteriota bacterium. RNAcentral's name for it is "bacterial SSU rRNA". It matches the Rfam family "Bacterial small subunit ribosomal RNA", at positions 308 to 1503 of the family's 1533-position model. The record is from RNAcentral. Lineage: Bacteria; Pseudomonadati; Acidobacteriota.